GAGAAGUUUUCGGAUGGAUCUCGGGAUAGUUUAGUGGCGGACGGGUGAGUAACACGUGAGCAACCUACCUUCGAGAGGGGAAUAACGGCUGGAAACGGUCGCUAAUACCGCAUAACAUACUGGAGGGACAUCUCUUUGGUAUCAAAGAUUAUAUCGCUCGGAGAUGGGCUCGCGUCCGAUUAGGUAGUUGGUGAGGUAACGGCUCACCAAGCCGACGAUCGGUAGCCGGACUGAGAGGUCGAACGGCCACAUUGGGACUGAGACACGGCCCAGACUCCUACGGGAGGCAGCAGUGGGGGAUAUUGCACAAUGGGGGAAACCCUGAUGCAGCGACGCCGCGUGUGGGAAGACGGUCCUCUGGAUUGUAAACCACUGUCCCCAGGGACGAAGAUGACGGUACCUGGGGAGGAAGCUCCGGCUAACUACGUGCCAGCAGCCGCGGUAAUACGUAGGGAGCGAGCGUUGUCCGGAAUUACUGGGUGUAAAGGGAGCGUAGGCGGGACUGCAAGUUGGGUGUCAAAUCUACCGGCUCAACCGGUAGCCGCACUCAAAACUGCAGUUCUUGAGUGAAGUAGAGGCAGGCGGAAUUCCUAGUGUAGCGGUGAAAUGCGUAGAUAUUAGGAGGAACACCAGUGGCGAAGGCGGCCUGCUGGGCUUUUACUGACGCUGAGGCUCGAAAGUGUGGGGAGCAAACA
This 695-nucleotide ribosomal RNA is filed under the name uncultured bacterium. RNAcentral describes it as "bacterial SSU rRNA". It matches the Rfam family "Bacterial small subunit ribosomal RNA", at positions 68 to 774 of the family's 1533-position model. The record is from RNAcentral.